This is an RNA transcript of Cebus imitator (Panamanian white-faced capuchin), 2249 nucleotides long. It is a transcript of the gene named probable ribosome biogenesis protein RLP24, with no coding region annotated. Lineage: Eukaryota; Metazoa; Chordata; Mammalia; Primates; Cebidae. The record is from RefSeq and is a predicted model, not a curated record. The transcript has a single exon.
UAAAUGCUGAGAAACUCAUGUUAGGUGAACUUGAUAAGUAUAUAGCAAAUAAGAGAAUAAAUAUUCUUGGAUAUACUGAUAGUAUUACCUUACCAUGAAAGCAACUGAUUGCUUUCAAUGGAUAAUUGAACCUCAUUUCUAAUGACAUGAAAAAUGCUUGCUCCAACUGAAUCUGAAAGUAUGAUCUUUGAAUGCCAUUUCUAUAAUCCAAAUAUUCUAUGUUUAAAGGAAAAGGAAGAUAUAGCAUAAGAGCAUUUUAACUGAGCAUUUAUUUUGCCAGUCCCUGUAAUAUGUGUUUUCCAAUUAUUAUUUUAUUUAAUCCUUACAUUCUGCCAAAUAAGUAUUACUCCAUUUGUUGAUGGAAAUAAAGCUCAGAGAGGUUGAGAAUAUAGCCAAAAAUUGCACAGCAAUGGUAAGACUUUUUAGAUUGUUGCAAAGUUAAAAAGAGAUUAGAGAAAUUCAUCCGUUUAGUGUGUGUGGAUAUUUGUGUGUGUGUGUGGAUGGGUAAAAUAAUUAUCCAGUGUUCAGAAGCCUCCUGGGAAGUACUUUUAAGGUUAUUAGUGGUUUUGCAAAAUCAAAACAAGUGGGUAGGGAUCAGUGGUAUGGAGAGGACAAAGCAGAGCACUUAGUGGUUUAGAGUAUUUUGCUCUUGGCAAGAAGUCAACAGUUUAUAUAAAGACUGAGUGGUCCUGACAUGAGCUAUGGAGAGCUGUGAAAUGACAGGAGUCAUUACACCAGAACAGCAGAUGCAAUUCUCUUAGAAGUUGGCUCCUGGUUGAACAAGUGGUAGAGAGCAACAUUUUCAAAAGCCCGGCAGAUACUCGUGCCGCUGACACAAAUCAAAGAACAGUAUAUCGACUUCCUCCAAAGCCUGGCGUUUUGUCCGUGGGGACCCACGCGGGUUCAACAUGCGUAUCGAGAAGUGUUAUUUCUGUUCCGGGCCUAUCUACCCUGGCCACGGCAUGAUGUUCAUACGCAACGAUUGCAAGGUGUUCAGAUUUUGUAAAUCUAAAUGCCAUAAAAACUUUAAAAAGAAGCCCAAUCCUCGCAAAGUUAGGUGGACCAAAGCAUUCCGGAAAGCAGCUGGGAAAGAGCUUACAGUGGAUAAUUCAUUUGAAUUUGUAACGCGUAGAAAUGAACCUAUCAAAUACCAGCGAGAGCUAUGGAAUAAAACUAUUGAUGCAAUGAAGAGAGUUGAAGAGAUCAAACAGAAACGCCAAGCUGAAUUUAUAAUGAACAGACUGAAAAAAAUAAAGAGCUACAUAAAGUUUAGGAUAUCAAAGAAGUCCAGCAAAACAUCCAUGUUAUCCGAGCCCCUCUUGCAGGCAAAGGGAAGCAUUUGGAAUAGAAAAUGGUACAGCAGGUGCAAGAGGAUGUGGAUAUGGAAGACGCUUCUUAAAAAUCUCUGUAACCAUUUCUUUUAUGUGCAUUUGAAAAUGCCCUUUGGACACUUGGAACUGCUAAAUUAUUAGUUUAUUUUUUACAUAAGGUCACUUAAAUGAAAAGUGAUUAAAAUAUGUCUUUUCUACAUUGCCAUCUAUAAAACAUCAGAUAUUACUGAUGUUACAUUGCAUCUCAGUGUUAAAUCUUCACUGACAGAUGUAUUUAUGUAAAUCAGGAAAAUUCUGCUUAUAGCUGUAGAAGUUAAUUGUGGAUGUAAAAUGCUUAUUCCAUUUGGAUAAUGUCACAGGGAAGCCUUUGUAUAAUAAGUAAUGGCAAAAAUUCAUGGUUAGUGAUGUAUCAAAUAAAAUAUUCUUUGCAGUAAAAUAUUCCCUUUAUUAAUGUUACAGAAAGAGGGAUACAACAAGGAAAUAACAAUUUGUAUGACAGUGUCAAAUACUAUUUUGAUUUUAGUAUUUCCUGUUUUGGUUUAUUGGCAUCUCAGAGGAGCAUAAUGUUAUUGUUUGAUGAAGCCUAAUUGUUCUGGACUGUUUUGACCUGGUUUAACCCUUCUGAUAGGUAGUUUCGGAUAUUGGGGAUAAGAACUGAAUAAUCUUUGCCUGGAGUGACACUACACUCUAGAAUUUCCACUUUGGAGAAUACUCAGUUCCAACUUGUGAUUCCUGGUAGAACAAACUUUAUUUUUCUAGCCUACCAAUGAUCUAGAAGCAGAGGAAUCCCAAUGCCUUUUAAAAGUUAUGUGGUUUUCUUUUAAAAAGCUCCUGUUUUUGGAAAGUAGAAUUUAUGGGUACAACAUCUGUUCAUUAUUUGCACAUAAAAUAAAGCCAUUUAAAAAGUAAAAAAAAAAA